AACGAACGCUGGCGGCAGGCCUUUAAGUGCAAGUCGAGCGCACCUUCGGGUGAGCGGCGGACGGGUUAGUAACGCGUGGGAACGUGCCCUUCUCUACGGAAUAGCCUCUGGAAACGGAGAGUAAUACCGUAUACGCCCUUUGGGGGAAAGAUUUAUCGGAGAAGGAUCGGCCCGCGUUAGAUUAGGUAGUUGGUGGGGUAACGGCCUACCAAGCCUACGAUCUAUAGCUGGUUUUAGAGGAUGAUCAGCAACACUGGGACUGAGACACGGCCCAGACUCCUACGGGAGGCAGCAGUGGGGAAUUUUCCGCAAUGGGCGAAAGCCUGACGGAGCAACGCCGCGUGAGGGAUGAAGGCCUCUGGGCUGUAAACCUCUUUUAUCAAGGAAGAAGAUCUGACGGUACUUGAUGAAUAAGCCACGGCUAAUUCCGUG
This 432-nucleotide ribosomal RNA is filed under the name uncultured bacterium. RNAcentral's name for it is "bacterial SSU rRNA". It matches the Rfam family "Bacterial small subunit ribosomal RNA", at positions 29 to 507 of the family's 1533-position model. The record is from RNAcentral.